GCGGGUAUAGUUUAGUGGUAAAAGUGUGAUUCGUUCUAUUAACCCCCAUAAUAGUUAAGGGGUCUUUCGGUUUUAUUCAUAUUCCGAUCAAACGAUGCGGGUUCGAUUCCCGCUACCCGCUC
Molecule: transfer RNA, 122 nt
Filed under: Chrysanthemum x morifolium (florist's daisy)
Lineage: Eukaryota; Viridiplantae; Streptophyta; Magnoliopsida; Asterales; Asteraceae
Description: tRNA-Ser
Rfam family: tRNA
About the family: Transfer RNA (tRNA) molecules are approximately 80 nucleotides in length. Their secondary structure includes four short double-helical elements and three loops (D, anti-codon, and T loops).
Source: RNAcentral